UUGCUAUUGCUAUUGCUAUAUGGAACCAUUAUUUAUUUUGCUUUACUGUGGUUCAUCACUUGAUGUGUGGAGACCUCUACACAAAGUGCCUGUCUUGCCAUCCCAUCCCAUUUUUCUGCAUAUUGUCAAAGGGGGGAAUACAAGACACAGCAGAAAGCUGGCAUCCCCCAAUGUGGCUUUUACCUUUGACAUGCUUUGAAGCUUGGGAUGCAGCAAUGCAGAGUCCCUUUUGCCAGGCAAUGGCUGGAGGAGUGCAAGACAGUGGGGAUGGUGGAGGCACGUGUUCUAAGCGGCAGCCAGCAAGAAGCACAAGAAGCCUAGAGCUGGCACAUUUCUGGGCUGGUCUGAGCCGCUCUCUCUAUGGUUUUGGCAACAGCCGCAGCACAAAACCCAGACUACAGCGGCAGCGGAAUUCAGAUGACAUAAUGCCACCUUCAAACCUCAGGUUGGAAUAGAGAAACUCACUACAAAUCGAAGGUUCAGAUUAUGGAUUAGGCUCAAAAACCUAGGGUCACUUUUGAGACAAAAGAGCGGUUUCGCGCAUUUGAGCAACCCCAAAAUGGAACCUCUGCACCCUUUGCCUCCAGUUUGGCAUUAUGUGUGAAGGCGGACAUAAUAAGAGACAAGCCUAGAUCACAAGAGAUAAGGAGAAAGGGUCGGAUCCAAACAACCUAUGAUAUGAUGAAACAAACCAAGAUUUGUUAAUUGUCCAUCAUGCCAAUCCAGGUCUGUUAGAUAAACCUUAGUUAAAAUAACUGCAGUUCUGCGUGAUAUCUAAACCUGCCCAAUAUAUAUAUAUCACAAUCUUAGAAAAAAUUGACACAACAGGUAGGAUGCUCCUGUGCAUAUAUACUUCAGAAUUAGAACCCAUUUUGUUCAAUGGAACUUACUUCCAAGUAAGUAUAUUUUGGAUUAUCUCACUGAAAAAACAUAUAUGGAUUAUCUCACUGAAAAAAGUAAUUUACUUCUGACGAAACAUGCAGAAGGUUGAGAUCUAUGUCAUAAUAAAAGGAGUUCAGAAUAGUCAUGAUGAAGUCCCUUUCUGGGAAAGACUUCUGCCUGAAACCUUAAAGAGUCAUCACGAGUCGGUGUAAACAAUACUGAGUUAGACGGACCAAUGGUCUGACUCAGUAUAAGGCAGCUUCCUAUGUCCCUAUGUCUAUAAUACAGUUAAAUCAUGAUGUACUAUAAUACAGUACAUAAUUGACUGCACCUUAAGCAAACUCCUCAGUCUCCAUCACAGUUUUUAGAAAGCGUGUUAAAUCUUGGCUUUUUACCCAGGCUUUUAUAUUAUUGUCUCUAUUGCUGCUUCUUUGUAUUUUGUACAGUUUUAAUGCUUGUAUUUUAAAUCUUAUUAAUCAGAUUUGUUAAUAUAUUUUUAAAUGAAAGGCAGUAUAUAAAUUUAACAAUAAAAUGAAUGAAUGAAUGAAUAAAAUGUGAUGUAAGUUUUAAAAUAUUUAAUACUUGUAAGUGAGGCCCAUUGUUGACCGGGCAUAGUCAUUUUGUAUUUAGUGCAUUCAGCUACUUUUAUGAAGGAUUGUUUAUGCCAAAUUUGGUAUCUGUACUUUAUUUUGCACAAAUAAAUCCACAAAACAAACAAACUCUUCAAAAUAUAUAAUGGAUACAACUUAUUAUAUAAGAAGAAUUUUUUAUUAACGUGCUUGCAGAAGGGAAGUAAAAGAACAGUUUGAAAUAUUCAUUUUAUUGAAUAAUUACCAUAUCUGGUCAAUUUGAAUCACAGUACAUUUGAAUCUGAGAAAGAUCUUCUGCUUCUGUUGGGCAUGAUGUCACAUUUGAAUUAUUGAACUGAUUAUUGGGUCUUAAAAGCUGUUCAGAACCAUAACAUAAAAUCUGGUGAUGAUCUUCUGCAUGCAAAAUUUCGUAACUGUAAGUAAUUGGGAAGUAUGACUUUCUGUCUCACAAACACACCCACAAACUCUUCAAAAUAUAGAAUAGAUUAACCAUUGCUUUAAGAGUAAAGCUAAAGUGUCUGAUACUCGUCUUGCUUCUCAAGCCCUAACUGUCUCUAUGCUGGUUACUUCCCCUGAGGACACAGAUUCCCACCGCAGGUCCCCAGAUGCUGUUGACUACAACUCCGAUCAUCAUCAGCCAUAAUGACCUUGGUUUGAAUUCUUGAUCUUAUGGAAAGUUAAAGGGUAAGGAACAAAGGGCCAUCAUCUCAUGAUCAACAGGAAGAGAAACCCUCUUGCUAUUCUGAUAUCAUCUGCAAGUGUUAUUUUUGUUGCAGCUCCAAAGAAUGGGAUUCUGGAAGCAAGAUUAUAAAACUUCAAUGCUCUGCAUUGUCUCAUGCCUCGGAUAAAGGUCCUUGUUGCUGAUUGAGUCAUGCAUUUUUCAUUUGUUAAUGUGCUUCAAGUAAAAUAGACAGCAAAAAGUGCUGAAACUCCA
Long non-coding RNA from Hemicordylus capensis (graceful crag lizard), 2406 nucleotides. RefSeq lists it as uncharacterized. NCBI's taxonomy places the organism in Eukaryota, Metazoa, Chordata, Lepidosauria, Squamata, Cordylidae. The transcript is spliced from 2 exons. The record is from RefSeq and is a predicted model, not a curated record.